Molecule: ribosomal RNA, 253 nt
Filed under: uncultured bacterium
Lineage: Bacteria
Description: partial 16S ribosomal RNA
Rfam family: Bacterial small subunit ribosomal RNA
Source: RNAcentral
UACGUAGGGUGCGAGCGUUAAUCGGAAUUACUGGGCGUAAAGGGUGCGUAGGUGGUUUGUUAAGUCAGGUGUGAAAUCCCUGGGCUCAACCUGGGAACUGCAUUUGAUACUGGCAGACUCGAGUCUGGUAGAGGGUAGUGGAAUUCCGCAUGUAGCGGUGAAAUGCGUAGAUAUGCGGAGGAACAUCAGUGGCGAAGGCGGCUUCCUGGACUAAAACUGACACUGAGGCACGAAAGCGUGGGUAGCAAACAGG